UUGCAUCAUGAUUUACAUUUGAGUGAGUGGCGAACUGGUGAGUAACACGUGGGAAACCUGCCCAGAAGCGGGGGAUAACACCUGGAAACAGAUGCUAAUACCGCAUAACAACUUGGACCGCAUGGUCCGAGCUUGAAAGAUGGCUUCGGCUAUCACUUUUGGAUGGUCCCGCGGCGUAUUAGCUAGAUGGUGGGGUAACGGCUCACCAUGGCAAUGAUACGUAGCCGACCUGAGAGGGUAAUCGGCCACAUUGGGACUGAGACACGGCCCAAACUCCUACGGGAGGCAGCAGUAGGGAAUCUUCCACAAUGGACGAAAGUCUGAUGGAGCAACGCCGCGUGAGUGAAGAAGGGUUUCGGCUCGUAAAACUCUGUUGUUAAAGAAGAACAUAUCUGAGAGUAACUGUUCAGGUAUUGACGGUAUUUAACCAGAAAGCCACGGCUAACUACGUGCCAGCAGCCGCGGUAAUACGUAGGUGGCAAGCGUUGUCCGGAUUUAUUGGGCGUAAAGCGAGCGCAGGCGGUUUUUUAAGUCUGAUGUGAAAGCCUUCGGCUCAACCGAAGAAGUGCAUCGGAAACUGGGAAACUUGAGUGCAGAAGAGGACAGUGGAACUCCAUGUGUAGCGGUGAAAUGCGUAGAUAUAUGGAAGAACACCAGUGGCGAAGGCGGCUGUCUGGUCUGUAACUGACGCUGAGGCUCGAAAGUAUGGGUAGCAAACAGGAUUAGAUACCCUGGUAGUCCAUACCGUAAACGAUGAAUGCUAAGUGUUGGAGGGUUUCCGCCCUUCAGUGCUGCAGCUAACGCAUUAAGCAUUCCGCCUGGGGAGUACGGCCGCAAGGCUGAAACUCAAAGGAAUUGACGGGGGCCCGCACAAGCGGUGGAGCAUGUGGUUUAAUUCGAAGCUACGCGAAGAACCUUACCAGGUCUUGACAUACUAUGCAAAUCUAAGAGAUUAGACGUUCCCUUCGGGGACAUGGAUACAGGUGGUGCAUGGUUGUCGUCAGCUCGUGUCGUGAGAUGUUGGGUUAAGUCCCGCAACGAGCGCAACCCUUAUUAUCAGUUGCCAGCAUUAAGUUGGGCACUCUGGUGAGACUGCCGGUGACAAACCGGAGGAAGGUGGGGAUGACGUCAAAUCAUCAUGCCCCUUAUGACCUGGGCUACACACGUGCUACAAUGGAUGGUACAACGAGUUGCGAACUCGCGAGAGUAAGCUAAUCUCUUAAAGCCAUUCUCAGUUCGGAUUGUAGGCUGCAACUCGCCUACAUGAAGUCGGAAUCGCUAGUAAUCGCGGAUCAGCAUGCCGCGGUGAAUACGUUCCCGGGCCUUGUACACACCGCCCGUCACACCAUGAGAGUUUGUAACACCCAAAGUC
This 1372-nucleotide ribosomal RNA is filed under the name Lactiplantibacillus plantarum. Its description in RNAcentral is "bacterial SSU rRNA". It matches the Rfam family "Bacterial small subunit ribosomal RNA", at positions 67 to 1428 of the family's 1533-position model. Lineage: Bacteria; Bacillati; Bacillota; Bacilli; Lactobacillales; Lactobacillaceae. The record is from RNAcentral.